Tribolium madens (black flour beetle) is the source of this 368-nucleotide long non-coding RNA. RefSeq lists it as uncharacterized. The record is from RefSeq and is a predicted model, not a curated record. NCBI's taxonomy places the organism in Eukaryota, Metazoa, Arthropoda, Insecta, Coleoptera, Tenebrionidae. The transcript has 3 exons.
UCUCGAAACGUUCUCAUAAACAUCUCGAAUCCGCCUACCGACUUCCUCUUUCAUUGCCAUUUCUUGUUGUGUGAGGUUCACGCAAGAAAUCUGCUGUUAUUUUAAGAAUCUUCUGGCUUUUUUAGCUGGGAAUUCUUUUAACAGCUCAAGAUGAGAGCGAAGUGGCGUAAGAAGCGUAUGCGAAGGCUAAAGCGAAAGCGCAGGAAGAUGCGUGCGAGGUCUAAGUAGACUCUCAUGUUCCACAACCUUGUGAGCUACAACUGGCCAACUAGGACGUGGAUUUCAUUUAAUACAUAAACAAAAAUCUUCGUCAUUUGAUUAUUCAUGUUUUAAUCAUUGACUACAAAAAAAAUAAAAAAUCUUGACUA